Empidonax traillii (willow flycatcher) is the source of this 128-nucleotide long non-coding RNA. RefSeq lists it as uncharacterized. The transcript has 3 exons. NCBI's taxonomy places the organism in Eukaryota, Metazoa, Chordata, Aves, Passeriformes, Tyrannidae. The record is from RefSeq and is a predicted model, not a curated record.
UGGGGUCUCACCUGAAGGGGCAGAAUCCCCCCCUGCCCUGCUGUCCACGCUGUGGGAUCAUCCCAGGGCACGGGGGGUUUCUGGGCUGGGGCAGGUCCAGCCUCUCCCCACCAGCACCCCCAGGGCCU